This 246-nucleotide ribosomal RNA is filed under the name Triticum aestivum (bread wheat). RNAcentral's name for it is "partial small subunit ribosomal RNA". Lineage: Eukaryota; Viridiplantae; Streptophyta; Magnoliopsida; Poales; Poaceae. The record is from RNAcentral.
AUGCAGAGGAGGCGGGCGACGGCUGCUUGCGGUUCAGGGGACGAGGUGAGGGCAGUGCCACGGCGUUGGACUAGGCAGCUUGCAGGUGCAGGCAUAGGAGGAAGGUGGAGGAGACGGCGAGGAGGCAUGGAGGAAGGCGAGCAGCGAAGGUCGACGCCGUCCUGUGCGGCUGCUACAGAGCCUCCGGCAGUGCGGAUCCUGUCCAGGAUAGGCGCGGGAGGCGAGUCCGUCGCGAGGAAGCUCUGA